RNAcentral lists this ribosomal RNA (254 nucleotides) under uncultured bacterium. RNAcentral describes it as "partial 16S ribosomal RNA". It matches the Rfam family "Bacterial small subunit ribosomal RNA", at positions 524 to 776 of the family's 1533-position model. The record is from RNAcentral.
GACGUAGGGGGCGAGCGUUAUCCGGAUUCACUGGGCGUAAAGGGCGCGUAGGCGGUCGUGACAAGUCACUUGUGAAAUCUCCGGGCUUAACUCGGAACGGUCAAGUGAUACUGUCGGACUAGAGUACAGAAGGGGCAACUGGAAUUCUCGGUGUAGCGGUGAAAUGCGUAGAUAUCGAGAGGAACACCUGCGGCGAAGGCGGGUUGCUGGGCUGAUACUGACGCUGAGGCGCGAAAGCCAGGGGAGCGAACGGG